RNAcentral lists this transfer RNA (73 nucleotides) under Hippoglossus stenolepis (Pacific halibut). Its description in RNAcentral is "tRNA-Thr". It matches the Rfam family "tRNA". Rfam says of the family: Transfer RNA (tRNA) molecules are approximately 80 nucleotides in length. Lineage: Eukaryota; Metazoa; Chordata; Actinopteri; Pleuronectiformes; Pleuronectidae. The record is from RNAcentral.
GGCACGGUGGCCAAGCGGUAAGGCGUUGGUCUCGUAAACAAAAAUAUCAUUGGUUCAAUCCCAAUCCAUGCCA